GACGAACGCUGGCGGCGUGCCUAACACAUGCAAGUCGAGCGAUGAAACCCUUCGGGGUGGAUUAGCGGCGGACGGGUGAGUAACACGUGGGUAACCUGCCUCAAAGAGGGGAAUAGCCUUCCGAAAGGAAGAUUAAUACCGCAUAAUAUGUUUUGAUCGCAUGAUCUAGACAUCAAAGGAGUAAUCCGCUUUGAGAUGGACCCCGCGGCGCAUUAGCUAGUUGGUGAGGUAACGGCUCACCAAGGCGACGAUGCGUAGCCGACCUGAGAGGGUGAUCGGCCACAUUGGAACUGAGACACGGUCCAGACUCCUACGGGAGGCAG
This 323-nucleotide ribosomal RNA is filed under the name uncultured Bacillota bacterium. RNAcentral describes it as "bacterial SSU rRNA". It matches the Rfam family "Bacterial small subunit ribosomal RNA", at positions 28 to 351 of the family's 1533-position model. Lineage: Bacteria; Bacillati; Bacillota. The record is from RNAcentral.